This 497-nucleotide ribosomal RNA is filed under the name uncultured bacterium. RNAcentral describes it as "partial 16S ribosomal RNA". It matches the Rfam family "Bacterial small subunit ribosomal RNA", at positions 28 to 507 of the family's 1533-position model. The record is from RNAcentral.
GAUGAACGCUGGCGGCGUGCCUAAUACAUGCAAGUCGAGCGAACGGACGAGAAGCUUGCUUCUCUGAUGUUAGCGGCGGACGAGUGAGUAACACGUGGAUAACCUACCUAUAAGACUGGGAUAACUUCGGGAAACCGGAGCUAAUACCGGAUAAUAUUUUGAACCGCAUGGUUCAAAAGUGAAAGACGGUCUUGCUGUCACUUAUAGAUGGAUCCGCGCUGCAUUAGCUAGUUGGUAAGGUAACGGCUUACCAAGGCAACGAUGCAUAGCCGACCUGAGGGGGUGAUCGGCCACACUGGAACUGAGACACGGUCCAGACUCCUACGGGAGGCAGCAGUAGGGAAUCUUCCGCAAUGGGCGAAAGCCUGACGGAGCAACGCCGCGUGAGUGAUGAAGGUCUUCGGAUCGUAAAACUCUGUUAUUAGGGAAGAACAUAUGUGUAAGUAACUGUGCACAUCUUGACGGUACCUAAUCAGAAAGCCACGGCUAACUACGUG